This 404-nucleotide ribosomal RNA is filed under the name uncultured bacterium. Its description in RNAcentral is "bacterial SSU rRNA". It matches the Rfam family "Bacterial small subunit ribosomal RNA", at positions 355 to 775 of the family's 1533-position model. The record is from RNAcentral.
UAGGGAAUAUUGCAAAAUGGGCGAAAGCCCGAUGCAGCAACGCCGCGUGCGCGAUGAAGGCCUUCGGGUCGUAAAGCGCUUUUUAGAGGGAUGAGGAAGGACAGUACCUCUAGAAUAAGUCUCGGCUAACUACGUGCCAGCAGCCGCGGUAAAACGUAGGAGGCAAGCGUUAUUCGGAUUUACUGGGCGUAAAGCGCGUGCAGGCGGUUUGGUAAGUUGGAUGUGAAAGCUCCUGGCUCAACUGGGAGAGGUCGUUCAAUACUACCAGACUAGAGGGCGGUAGAGGAAGGCGGAAUUCCGGGUGUAGUGGUGAAAUGCGUAGAUAUCCGGAGGAACACCAGUGGCGAAAGCGGCCUUCUGGACCGAUCCUGACGCUCAGACGCGAAAGCUAGGGUAGCAAACGG